GGUUAAGCGACUAAGCGUACACGGUGGAUGCCCUGGCAGUCAGAGGCGAUGAAGGGCGUGCUAAUCUGCGAUAAGCGCCGGUAAGGUGAUAUGAACCGUUAUAACCGGCGAUACCCGAAUGGGGAAACCCAGUGUGAUUCGUCACACUAUCAUUAACUGAAUCCAUAGGUUAAUGAGGCGAACCGGGGGAACUGAAACAUCUAAGUACCCCGAGGAAAAGAAAUCAACCGAGAUUCCCCCAGUAGCGGCGAGCGAACGGGGAGGAGCCCAGAGCCUGAAUCAGCAUGUGUGUUAGUGGAAGCGUCUGGAAAGGCGCGCGAUACAGGGUGACAGCCCCGUACACAAAAGCGCAUGUGUUGUGAGCUCGAUGAGUAGGGCGGGACACGUGGUAUCCUGUCUGAAUAUGGGGGGACCAUCCUCCAAGGCUAAAUACUCCUGACUGACCGAUAGUGAACCAGUACCGUGAGGGAAAGGCGAAAAGAACCCCGGCGAGGGGAGUGAAAAAGAACCUGAAACCGUGUACGUACAAGCAGUGGGAGCACCCUUUGGGGUGUGACUGCGUACCUUUUGUAUAAUGGGUCAGCGACUUAUAUUCUGUAGCAAGGUUAACCGAAUAGGGGAGCCGGAGGGAAACCGAGUCUUAAUUGGGCGUUAAGUUGCAGGGUAUAGACCCGAAACCCGGUGAUCUAGCCAUGGGCAGGUUGAAGGUUGGGUAACACUAACUGGAGGACCGAACCGACUAAUGUUGAAAAAUUAGCGGAUGACCUGUGGCUGGGGGUGAAAGGCCAAUCAAACCGGGAGAUAGCUGGUUCUCCCCGAAAGCUAUUUAGGUAGCGCCUCGUGAAUUCAUCUCCGGGGGUAGAGCACUGUUUCGGCUAGGGGGCCAUCCCGGCUUACCAACCCGAUGCAAACUGCGAAUACCGGAGAAUGUUAUCACGGGAGACACACGGCGGGUGCUAACGUCCGUCGUGAAGAGGGAAACAACCCAGACCGCCAGCUAAGGUCCCAAAGUCAUAGUUAAGUGGGAAACGAUGUGGGAAGGCCCAGACAGCCAGGAUGUUGGCUUAGAAGCAGCCAUCAUUUAAAGAAAGCGUAAUAGCUCACUGGUCGAGUCGGCCUGCGCGGAAGAUGUAACGGGGCUAAACUAUGCACCGAAGCUGCGGCAGCGACACUAUGUGUUGUUGGGUAGGGGAGCGUUCUGUAAGCCUGUGAAGGUGUGUCGUGAGGCAUGCUGGAGGUAUCAGAAGUGCGAAUGCUGACAUAAGUAACGAUAAAGCGGGUGAAAAGCCCGCUCGCCGGAAGACCAAGGGUUCCUGUCCAACGUUAAUCGGGGCAGGGUGAGUCGACCCCUAAGGCGAGGCCGAAAGGCGUAGUCGAUGGGAAACGGGUUAAUAUUCCCGUACUUGGUGUUACUGCGAAGGGGGGACGGAGAAGGCUAUGUUGGCCGGGCGACGGUUGUCCCGGUUUAAGCGUGUAGGUGUGUGUUCCAGGUAAAUCCGGUUCACUUUAACACUGAGGCGUGA
Molecule: ribosomal RNA, 1523 nt
Filed under: Salmonella enterica
Lineage: Bacteria; Pseudomonadati; Pseudomonadota; Gammaproteobacteria; Enterobacterales; Enterobacteriaceae
Description: partial 23S ribosomal RNA
Rfam family: Bacterial large subunit ribosomal RNA
Source: RNAcentral